ACAGAAUUGGGCCUGCGGUCUGCUUUCUCCUGAGGACAUCAAGUCAGUGCAUGAAUAUUUUCUCGCGCCACAGUACAAGCUCUCUAACCUCAUAAGGGGUUAGAAACGCCUAGAGGGGAGCUGGAGGAGAGAGACUACAUGCAGAUAGCGAUCUGCGGUAAGCAGGAAAACACAGACUGUUCUCGGUGGGGCUUUUGAUGGCGGGGUGCGGAGAGGACAUGAAGACAGGGUGACCUUGGGGAUCCAUGCCCGUGUGUUGCUCCCUAAAGCUACCUUCUGGUUGUACGAAUGCAGGUGACACCAAAACUGUGGUCAUUUCACUUGGUUUUAAUUGAAAUAAGUUUGUAGAAUCUCAAGAAUCCAAGAGAAUGUACAUUUUUUGAGAAACCAACUUUUUUGCAGAAGGCUUUACGUAGGCCCUCCUGUUACCUCUAUGUAAAUGUCCACAUGUCAUCUGGAUGGAUAUACUAGGAGAAGUAAUUAUGGUUAUUUCAUUUUUAGAUUAUGAAACUCAGUCCAUCAACAGACUCGCUUCCAUUGAUUUUUCUUCUCACUUCCAUCACCGCCAUCUGCCCUCCCACCCUAGACCCCAGAGCACAGGAAACCUCUUGUGAGCACACGAAUGUGCAGAGGGGUAAGAGGUUGUCUUUUUUUUUUUUUUUUUUGUGCAACAUGAGUUUUGGUAAAAUGUGUGUCUAGAAGUUGAGAUGUAUUUCUUAGCACAAAUUAUUAUAUACCACUUAGAAACAAAGAAUCGUGGUUAAGAGCAUUUUUUUAGGAAUGAACACUGCUUUAGAAUCAAUUUUAAUGACAGUCAUCUGAUUAAGAAGGCAUACGCUCAGUCCAGAAAUCAAUCCGAAUAAUCAUAAAAAAUAUUUCAGCAAUCACAAAUCCUGUAAUAAUAGAAUUUCUACCCUCACAUUCAUUAUGACUUGAUGACUCAUUAUCUCAAAGUCAUCCAUACUAACCUUCACAAAAGCACUCAUUCGUGGAUCCUAAAAAGCUUUAAAAUCAUUCUUCAUAAUUUAUAAACAUGACCAUACUGGUCUAUUUUUUGUCUUUUUCUGUCUUUUUAGGGUGACACCAGUGGCACAUGGAGGUUCCCAGGCUAGGGGUCCAAUCAGAGCUGUAGCUGCGGGCCAACGUCACGCGGGAUUCCAGCGAAGUCUGCAACCUACACCACAGCUCAUGGCAAUACCGGCUCCUCAACCCACUGAGCAAGGCCAAGGACCGAACCUGCAUCCUCAUGGAUGCUUGUCAGGUUCAUUAACCACUGAGUCACAAUGGGAACUCCCAUACUGGUCUGUUUUCUGUGCCUUUCAGGAUGCCCCAGCUUCCCCUGAGCCCUAGACUUGGCCCUUGGGCUUGUCCAGAAUGGACAGCCUCCUGAGACAGGGCUCUGGAGGGACCACCUCUCACCUGCCCUAACAGGAGCCUCAGUGGUCCCUGGCCUGGGUCUGACCUGACAAGACUCACGUGCCGCGUGCGUGGCUGCUGCCCUCCCAUCUCUUCCAGGCAGCUUCCUAAGAUGUGAAGCCUGGCUUCCCUGAUGGCUCCCCUAAGUGGCUAACAACACAGAUGUGCAGCACUGAAUCAAGACGAGAGGCCAAGAAGAUAAAUCCUUCUUCCUCUCUCCACGCCCUCCUCCGCUGAUGGACUGCUUCAAGGUGACCUGGAGGAUGAACACCUGCUUGGGCAUAUUUCCUCGUGAGCGUAUGUCCCGUUCCUUCACAUGCCCGCCAGGUAUCUGCUUCCCUCCUCCGCUGCCUCAUCUCUCUCUCCCUCACUUCUGCAGCCCUGAGAUCACACCUCGCAACGUAACAUUAACAAGUAAUUUUUGACACAGCUUUUAUUCUCUAGGCGAUCUGAUUAAAACAAUGCUUUUUUUUUUUUAAAUCACACAUUAUAUCUCCAAUCCAGCCUCCUGCCUACAGUCCAUUCUCUUCUUAAAAAGAAUGAAUGGAGACCUAAAGUUUACAUUAAGGUUCUUUAGAGCUGCUCCAGCGAAGUGUCUCUGCGUUGAGACUCUUUUCUCUAAAUCUCAUCUAACGUUCCUGUAAGUGGGUUUCAUCGCAGCGCAGUAUGACUGGGUAUUAGCAAUCCUCUUCUCUGAUUGGCUGCUUCUGCCCAGUCUGGUUGGUGGUGGACGAAGACAACUGACAGUCGCUUUCCCCACCUGCAGCCUCCUACUUACAAGCCCAUUUCCUGAUCUCCAUCCUAUUACCACUGAUGCUACCCUCUGCCUCCUUUGUGUCCUGACCUCCCCUUCCCUUUCAGCAAAUUCCUGACAUGUACUGGUGAUAGAGCCAGUUCAAGGUAGUAUUCACGAUCCUUUUGAUUCAGGAUAUGCUGUUUGGGAUAGAAUAGGUAUCUUUUAAUCGACAGCUACAGAAUAUCAGCUGCCAAGAGCAAUGUGAUAUUUGGGGGUUGUAAACCAGACACUUUAAACCAUACCUAGAUGGAGAAAAAGAAGUGAAAGGACUUUUUCACUUCUCUAUUUAAUGGACCAGAUAGUAUCUUCUUAGGGAGAGGGAGGGGUGGUGAGGAUAAAAGCUCUUCGAUAUUUAGUGGAAUCAAAAGGCAGGGACAGAAAAAAAAUGGAGUUCCUGUUGUGGCUCAGUGGGAACAAACCUGGCUGGCAUCCAUGAGGACGCAGGGUCAAUCCCUCGCCUUGCUCAGUGGCCUUGAUCCAGCGUUGCCAUGAGUGUGGCGCAGGCAGCAGAUGCGGCUCGGAUCUUACAUUGCUGUGGCUGUGGUGUAGGCCAGCUUCAAUUCGACCCCUAGCCUGGGAACCUCCAUAUGCUGUGGGUGCAGCCCUAAAGAGACAGGGAAAAAAAAAAAAAAAAAAGGACAAAAAAAAUUAGGAAAAGAAAGGCAGGGACUGUGAACGCUGGAAGAGAACAGGAGGGCUGCUCCUUUAAACAGUAAGGAGUUAAAAUUCCUUGGAUGUUUUGCACAGAUAAUGUCCGAGGCUGAGUUUAAGACAAACACUCUCCUGGGAUUAAAACAAAACAAACAUAAACCAGGGCCCUUGGACCCUGAGCAAGCCUGAGGAGAGGCGUUUUCAUCCUCAUGUGACGUUUAGAAUGAGUUGAAAAGGGAAAGUCAGGCAUCAGUGAGUUAUGCAGCACAGUGUACCCAGGGAUGAUUAAGUGCCUCUGAGGUUUUUUGGUUUUCUUCUAUUUGAAACUAAUGAUUGAGUUAGAGUAUUUCUCUUCAGUGGCUCAAUAUUACUUAAUGUUAUGGUUGAAAAAUAAGGCGUAAAAAUAAAAUAAGAUUUUAAUUUUAUUUAUUUACCA
This 3299-nucleotide long non-coding RNA is filed under the name Sus scrofa (pig). Its description in RNAcentral is "lncRNA (ENSSSCG00050073245.1)". Lineage: Eukaryota; Metazoa; Chordata; Mammalia; Artiodactyla; Suidae. The record is from RNAcentral.